GAUGAACGCUGGCGGCGUGCCUAAUACAUGCCAGUCGAGCGAACAGACGAGGAGCUUGCUCCUCUGACGUUAGCGGCGGACGGGUGAGUAACACGUGGAUAACCUACCUAUAAGACUGGGAUAACUUCGGGAAACCGGAGCUAAUACCGGAUAAUAUAUUGAACCGCAUGGUUCAAUAGUGAAAGACGGUUUUGCUGUCACUUAUAGAUGGAUCCGCGCCGCAUUAGCUAGUUGGUAAGGUAACGGCUUACCAAGGCAACGAUGCGUAGCCGACCUGAGAGGAUGAUCAGCCACACUGGAACUGAGACACGGUCCAGACUCCUACGGGAGGCAGCAGUAGGGAAUCUUCCGCAAUGGGCGAAAGCCUGACGGAGCAACGCCGCGUGAGUGAUGAAGGUCUUCGGAUCGUAAAACUCUGUUAUUAGGGAAGAACAAAUGUGUAAGUAACUAUGCACGUCUUGACGGUACCUAAUCAGAAAGCCACGGCUAACUACGUG
Molecule: ribosomal RNA, 497 nt
Filed under: uncultured bacterium
Lineage: Bacteria
Description: partial 16S ribosomal RNA
Rfam family: Bacterial small subunit ribosomal RNA
Source: RNAcentral